Molecule: non-coding RNA, 1486 nt
Organism: Nelumbo nucifera (sacred lotus)
Lineage: Eukaryota; Viridiplantae; Streptophyta; Magnoliopsida; Proteales; Nelumbonaceae
Source: RefSeq, a predicted model, not a curated record
AGGGGGGAGGGGGGGAGGUGUAGCGAGGAACCUAAAGGAGGCGGUGAGGAAGUUUGAGUUUGUUUCUAACCUGAAAUUUAACCUUAAGAAAAGCUUUGUAGCGGGCAUCCACUUGAGGAAGGGCAACAAACUCUGUUGCCGACAUCUUAGAGUGCUCCAUCCCUUGACCUACCUUGGCUUUCCUUUAGGAGCAAACCCUAAAGAAAGCAGAUUAUGGAAUCCAGUUGUCAAAAGGUGUGCAAAGAAGCUGGCAGAAGUUCUCACCCCGUUUCUUUGGUCCCUUCUACAUCUCAGGGAGAGCGGAGAAGUGGCUUACAAAUUAGACUUGCCGAGUACUGCCCGCCUCUACCCAGUAUUUCAUGUCUUGCUUCUCAAGCCUUGUCGAACAAAUGCAGCCUUGGUGAAGCCACUAUUACCUGAGUUUAGUAGUGAAGGGCAGCUGAUUGUUGAGCACAAUGUCAUCUCAGAUAUCCGCUGGAUAAAGAUUGGUUGCAAAGUGGUGAAGCAAGCCCUUAUUCAGUGGACGAACCUGCCCGCGCAGAAGAUGCCACUUGGGAAGACUUCAGUAAGUUGCAGGAGCAGUUUCCCCAUCUUGACCUUGAGGCCAAGGUCAUUCUUAAGGGUGGGGGGAUGAUAGAACCUAAGUAGGUAAUUCGCCAUCGGGUCACUAGGCCCAUGUAGGUCAGGAAAGCCAGGCCCAUGUGGGUCGUGAGGUCCAUGCAGCAGCAGGAGCGGCACAUGCAGAGCAUUGCAAGCCUCCCCUGCGAUUCCUUUACAACCGCAGGCCACGUCUUAACCACCCACAUGCAUAAGCGCGUGAUCAUGAUGAGCUGAUUAGGAGAAAAGCCUAUAUAAGGCCUACGGGUAGAACGGAAUCAGUAGAAAAAGCAUAACCACUUAGUUUUCUCUCUUCUUCUUCUUCAUCUUCUCUCUCCCUCUCUCUCUCGUAACUCUGUUUCUGGAGGAAGGAGCUCCCUCGAAUAAGCUUCGUCACUUAGAGCCUAUCACUGGCUGCCAGGAAGAGAAAUUAUGUAUUAUUGGGCGGAAGAAUUACUUUGAUCAAAUCCACUCUUGCCAUCCUACCAAUUUAUAUUUGUCAGUUUUUAGGAUUCCUCAAAAGGAGGCAAAAAAGUUGAAAAAAUCAUGAGAGGUUUCCUUUGAGAUCCGGGUGAUGGAUAGAAAGACCAUUUGGUUAAAUGGGAGGUGACUGAAGGAAAGGGAUAGACUGUGGCAUGAAGUCAUUGCUAGCAUACAUGGGAGGUUAGGAAAUGGUUGGGAUGUGGGAGUAUCUAACAGGGCUAACAGGGAGUAUCUAACAGGGCUACACUGACCUCUCCGUGGAAAGCCAUCCACUGCGCCUUGCUUCUUUUACUUCGGUCUAUCUGAGGUCUAAGAGAUAGUGUAAUCUCAGCUUGCUCAGAUCUGUUACAAAUCCUUCAAAAUGUUAGUUUGGACCUUGAGAAGUCUGAAAAGCAUAUUUGGGCUC